GCUGGCGGCAUGCCUUACACAUGCAAGUCGAACGGCAGCACGGGAGCAAUCCUGGUGGCGAGUGGCGAACGGGUGAGUAAUAUAUCGGAACGUGCCCAGUCGGUGGGGAUAACGUAGCGAAAGCUACGCUAAUACCGCAUACGAUCUACGGAUGAAAGCGGGGGAUCGCAAGACCUCGCGCGAUUGGAGCGGCCGAUAUCAGAUUAGGUAGUUGGUGAGGUAAAGGCUCACCAAGCCGACGAUCUGUAGCUGGUCUGAGAGGACGACCAGCCACACUGGGACUGAGACGCGGCCCAGACUCCUACGGGAGGCAGCAGUGGGGAAUUUUGGACAAUGGGCGCAAGCCUGAUCCAGCAAUGCCGCGUGCAGGAUGAAGGCCUUCGGGUUGUAAACUGCUUUUGUACGGAACGAAACGGUGAGCUCUAAUACAGUUUCGCCUAGUGACGGUACCGUAAGAAUAAGCACCGGCUAACUACGUG
This 479-nucleotide ribosomal RNA is filed under the name uncultured bacterium. RNAcentral's name for it is "bacterial SSU rRNA". It matches the Rfam family "Bacterial small subunit ribosomal RNA", at positions 35 to 507 of the family's 1533-position model. The record is from RNAcentral.